ACUGCACUGAUGAUUAUUAGUGUUUGACACCGACACACACACAUGCACACACACUUAAAACAAUGAUGUCUCUUAUUCUAAUGCUGUGGACACUCGGUCUGCUCGCUCAAGUGUCUCAUCAAGAGGUUCAGUCUCCUGAGUCUCUGAUUGUUAAAGCAGGAGAGUCCGUCUCUAUGAGCUGCACUGGGACCAGUGGAGUUGAUGAUGACAUGAGCUGGUAUCUGCAGAAAACUGGAGAAGCUCCUAAACUCCUGAUCUAUAAAGCAAGUCGACUUGAAUCUGGAGUCCCAAAUCGGUUCAGUGGAAGUUAUUCUGGACUUCAUUUCACACUGAAUCUACGUGGAGUCCAGCCUGAGGAUGCAGGAGUUUAUUACUGUAUGGGGGCUUAUAGUGGCAGGUCCACACAGUGAAACAACAUCAUACAAAAACCUCCCUCAGUCAGACACUACAGAGAACAUGAGAGUAAUUUCAGGCUAGUCGCCCUGUACAGCAGCUGAUCAACAGUUAAAGCAGUAAUGAAGAUUUUCUUUUCAGUUAUUCAAUAAUUUGUUCACUUUAAUUAAUUAGCAGAAAUUAUUAUGUGAAAUUUUGACCUUAGCAUCAAUGUGAACAGAAGCUUGUUUUAUAUUUAAAGACUGGAAUUAUAAACUUUAUUAUGUGCAGCAUGAAAUUCAUCACAUUCUGACAUCACAUUAUAUGAACGUGAACUCACGCCAUCAAAACAUACUGAAAUUAUUCUCUUUAAGUGAUAUUUUCAGUAUAAAAAUAAAAUGUUAGUAUUCAUGUUACUCAUAUCCACAAGCUUUGUUUAAAAUUGUAUCCUAUAAAAGUGAUUAUCAAACAUAAAAAAGAGAUAUUUUACAGAUAUUUAAAAAUGUAUUUAAAGUUGCUGGUAUACAUGACAACAUUAGAAUGUCUUUAAAUACCAAGACAUGUUCUUGUAUCAGUUGGUCCACAUGAGUGUCAAAGAAAUAUAUCCAAAUUUCCUCGAUUCAACACUAACCACAAUAUAAAACAGAUCAGAGGGACAUUAUAGGUUGAUAAAGAUGUUGUCCAAGCCUUAAAUAUAACAUAUUUCUUAUUCCAAAAUCAAAUUAAUUGCCAACAAGGACAAACCAAGACCUAAAUGGCAAAAUUU
Molecule: non-coding RNA, 1138 nt
Organism: Megalobrama amblycephala (Wuchang bream)
Lineage: Eukaryota; Metazoa; Chordata; Actinopteri; Cypriniformes; Xenocyprididae
Source: the annotation of a RefSeq genome assembly